UGGGGAAUAUUGCACAAUGGGGGAAACCCUGAUGCAGCGACGCCGCGUGAGCGAAGAAGGUUUUCGAAUCGUAAAGCUCUGUCCUAUGAGAAGAUAAUGACGGUAUCAUAGGAGGAAGCCCCGGCUAACUACGUGCCAGCAGCCGCGGUAAUACGUAGGGCGCAAGCGUUAUCCGGAAUUAUUGGGCGUAAAGAGCUUGUAGGCGGUUCGUCGCGUCUGGUGUGAAAGCCCAUCGCUUAACGGUGGGUUUGCGCCGGGUACGGGCGGGCUAGAGUGCAGUAGGGGAGACUGGAAUUCCCGGUGUAACGGUGGAAUGUGUAGAUAUCGGGAAGAACACCAAUGGCGAAGGCAGGUCUCUGGGCUGUUACUGACGCUGAGAAGCGAAAGCGUGGGGAGCGAACAGG
This 404-nucleotide ribosomal RNA is filed under the name Verrucomicrobiota bacterium. RNAcentral's name for it is "Verrucomicrobia bacterium partial 16S ribosomal RNA". It matches the Rfam family "Bacterial small subunit ribosomal RNA", at positions 355 to 776 of the family's 1533-position model. The record is from RNAcentral. Lineage: Bacteria; Pseudomonadati; Verrucomicrobiota.